CCCUUAGACGUUCUGGGCCGCACGCGCGCUACACUGAUUCAUGCAACAAGUUUUGUCCUUGGCUGAUAGGCCUGGGUAAUCUUUGAACGUGAAUCGUGAUGGGGAUAGAUGAUUGCAAUUAUUCAUCUUCAACGAGGAAUUCCUAGUAAACGCAAGUCAUCAGCUUGCAUUGAUUACGUCCCUGCCCUUUGUACACACCGCCCGUCGCACCUACCGAUUGAAUGGUCCGGUGAAAUCUUCGGAUCUGAGAGAUGUCUGAUUAAUUUCGGACGCCUUUUGGAAAAGUUGUUUAAACCUUACCAUUUAGAGGAAGGUGAANUCGUANCA
RNAcentral lists this ribosomal RNA (327 nucleotides) under uncultured eukaryote. RNAcentral describes it as "partial 18S ribosomal RNA". It matches the Rfam family "Eukaryotic small subunit ribosomal RNA", at positions 1470 to 1796 of the family's 1831-position model. The record is from RNAcentral.